RNAcentral lists this transfer RNA (84 nucleotides) under Pseudomonas fluorescens. Its description in RNAcentral is "tRNA-Gly". The record is from RNAcentral. Lineage: Bacteria; Pseudomonadati; Pseudomonadota; Gammaproteobacteria; Pseudomonadales; Pseudomonadaceae.
CGGGCGUUUGCACAUGGCGAUCGAGUGCCACAGUUGCUUCCAGUGGCUGAUGCCGACCAUCGAUCAGUUCCGCGAUGCCUGGCC